UACGGAGGGGGCAAGCGUUAUCCGGAAUCACUGGGUUUAAAGGGUGCGUAGGUGGGUAAGUAAGUCCGUGGUGAAAUCUCUGAGCUUAACUGAGAAACUGCCGUGGAUACUAUUUAUCUUGAAUAUUGUGGAGGUGAGCGGAAUAUGUCAUGUAGCGGUGAAAUGCUUAGAUAUGACAUAGAACACCAAUUGCGAAGGCAGCUCACUGCACAAUUAUUGACGCUGAGGCACGAAAGCGUGGGGAGCGAACAGG
RNAcentral lists this ribosomal RNA (253 nucleotides) under uncultured bacterium. RNAcentral's name for it is "partial 16S ribosomal RNA". It matches the Rfam family "Bacterial small subunit ribosomal RNA", at positions 524 to 776 of the family's 1533-position model. The record is from RNAcentral.